ACGCCGCNUGAGUGAGAAGGCUUCCGGUCGUAAACUCUGUGUANGGGAAGACAAGUGUUAGUGAAUAAGCUGGCACUGACGGGUACUAACCAGAAAAGCCACGGCUAANUACGUGCCAGCAGCCGCGUAAUACGUAGGUGNCAAGCGUAUCCCGAAUUAUUGGGCGUAAAGCGCGCGCAGUGGGUUUCUUAAGUCUGAUGUGAAAGCCCACGGCUCANCCGUGANNGGUCAUUGGAAACUGGGAGACUGNAGUGCAGAAGAGGAAAGUGGAAUUCCAUGUGUAGCGGUGAAAUGCGUAGAGAUAUGGAGGAACACCAGUGGCGAAGGCGACUUUCUGGUCUGUAACUGACACUGAGGCGCGAAAGCGUGGGGAGCAAACAGGAUUAGAUACCCUGGUAGUCCACGCCGUAAACGAUGAGUGCUAAGUGUUAGAGGGUUUCCGCCCUUUAGUGCUGAAGUUAACGCAUUAAGCACUCCGCCUGGGGAGUA
This 489-nucleotide ribosomal RNA is filed under the name uncultured bacterium. Its description in RNAcentral is "bacterial SSU rRNA". It matches the Rfam family "Bacterial small subunit ribosomal RNA", at positions 394 to 882 of the family's 1533-position model. The record is from RNAcentral.